UGAGGAACAUGACCUUCGGCGGGGGAUAGCCGGCCCAACGGCCGGGUAAUACCGCGUACGACCACAUGGGGACAUCCCUGAGUGGUGAAAGCAGCAAUGCGCCGAUGGAGAACUUCGCGGCCUAUCAGCUUGUUGGUGAGGUAAUGGCUCACCAAGGCGACGACGGGUAGCCGGCCUGAGAGGGCGAUCGGCCACACUGGGACUGAGACACGGCCCAGACUCCUACGGGAGCAG
RNAcentral lists this ribosomal RNA (234 nucleotides) under uncultured bacterium. RNAcentral's name for it is "partial 16S ribosomal RNA". It matches the Rfam family "Bacterial small subunit ribosomal RNA", at positions 118 to 347 of the family's 1533-position model. The record is from RNAcentral.